ACGAAGGGGGCUAGCGUUGUUCGGAAUUACUGGGCGUAAAGCGCGUGUAGGCGGGUCUUUAAGUCAGGGGUGAAAUGCCAGGGCUCAACCUUGGAACUGCCCUUGAUACUGGAGAUCUUGAGUCCGGGAGAGGUGAGUGGAACUGCGAGUGUAGAGGUGAAAUUCGUAGAUAUUCGCAAGAACACCAGUGGCGAAGGCGGCUCACUGGCCCGGUACUGACGCUGAGAUGCGAAAGCGUGGGGAGCAAACAGGAUUAGAUACCCUGGUAGUCCACGCUGUAAACGAUGGAUGCUAGCCGUUAGGCAGCUUGCUGCUUAGUGGCGCAGUUAACACUUUAAGCAUCCCGCCUGGGGAGUACGGUCGCAAGAUUA
Molecule: ribosomal RNA, 371 nt
Filed under: uncultured bacterium
Lineage: Bacteria
Description: bacterial SSU rRNA
Rfam family: Bacterial small subunit ribosomal RNA
Source: RNAcentral